This 633-nucleotide ribosomal RNA is filed under the name uncultured Ascomycota. Its description in RNAcentral is "SSU rRNA". It matches the Rfam family "Eukaryotic small subunit ribosomal RNA", at positions 1039 to 1697 of the family's 1831-position model. Lineage: Eukaryota; Fungi; Ascomycota. The record is from RNAcentral.
AUNCCGANUAGGGAUCGGACGAUGUUAUUUUUUGACUCGUUCGGCNCCUUACACGAAAGUAAAGUUUUUGGGUUCUGGGGGGAGUAUGGUCGCAAGGCUGGAACUUAAAGAAAUUGACGGAAGGGCACCACAAGGGGUGGAGCCUGCGGCNUAAUUUGACUCAACACGGGGAAACUCACCAGGUCCAGACACAACUAGGAUUGACAGAUUGAGAGCUCUUUCUUGAUUUUGUGGGUGGUGGUGCAUGGCCGUUCUUAGUUGGUGGAGUGAUUUGUCUGCUUAAUUGCGAUAACGAACGAGACCUUAACCUGCUAAAUAGCCCGUUCCGCUCAGGCGGAACGCUGGCUUCUUAGAGGGACUAUCGGCUCAAGGCGAUGGAAGUUUGAGGCAAUAACAGGUCUGUGAUUCCCUUAGAUGUUCUGGGCCGCACGCGCGCUACACUGACAGAGCCAGCGAGUUCCUCCUUGGCUGGAAAGCCCGGGUAAUCUUGUGAAACUCUGUCGUGCUGGGGAUAGAGCAUUGCAAUUAUUGCUCUUCAACGAGGAAUCCCUAGUAAGCGCAAGUCAUCAGCUUGCGUUGAUUACGUCCCUGCCCUUUGUACACACCGCCCGUCGCUACUACCGAUUGAAUGGC